Molecule: ribosomal RNA, 439 nt
Filed under: uncultured bacterium
Lineage: Bacteria
Description: partial 16S ribosomal RNA
Rfam family: Bacterial small subunit ribosomal RNA
Source: RNAcentral
CUACGGGGGGCUGCAGUGAGGAAUAUUGCACAAUGGGGGGAACCCUGAUGCAGCAACGCCGCGUGGAGGAUGACGCAUUUCGGUGUGUAAACUCCUUUUAUAUGUCAAGAAAAUGACGGUAGCAUAUGAAUAAGCACCGGCUAACUCCGUGCCAGAGCGCGCGGUAAUACGGAGGGUGCAAGCGUUACUCGGAAUCACUGGGCGUAAAGGACGCGUAGGCGGGCUUGUAAGUCAGGUGUGAAAUCCUACAGCUUAACUGUAGAACUGCACUUGAAACUACGAGCCUGGAGUAUGGGAGGGGGGGAUGGAAUUAGUGGUGUAGGGGUAAAAUCCGUAGAUAUCACUAGGAAUACCUAAAGCGAAGGCGAUCUCCUGGAACAUAACUGACGCUAAGGCGUGAAAGCGUGGGGAGCAAACAGGAUUAGAUACCCGGGUAGUC